RNAcentral lists this ribosomal RNA (489 nucleotides) under uncultured Bacillota bacterium. Its description in RNAcentral is "bacterial SSU rRNA". It matches the Rfam family "Bacterial small subunit ribosomal RNA", at positions 355 to 836 of the family's 1533-position model. Lineage: Bacteria; Bacillati; Bacillota. The record is from RNAcentral.
UAGGGAAUCUUCCGCAAUGGACGAAAGUCUGACGGAGCAACGCCGCGUGAGUGAAGAAGGCCUUCGGGUCGUAAAGCUCUGUUGUUAGGGAAGAACAAGUACGAGAGUAACUGCUCGUACCUUGACGGUACCUAACCAGAAAGCCACGGCUAACUACGUGCCAGCAGCCGCGGUAAUACGUAGGUGGCAAGCGUUGUCCGGAAUUAUUGGGCGUAAAGCGCGCGCAGGCGGUCCUUUAAGUCUGAUGUGAAAGCCCACGGCUCAACCGUGGAGGGUCAUUGGAAACUGGGGGACUUGAGUGCAGAAGAGGAGAGUGGAAUUCCACGUGUAGCGGUGAAAUGCGUAGAGAUGUGGAGGAACACCAGUGGCGAAGGCGACUCUCUGGUCUGUAACUGACGCUGAGGCGCGAAAGCGUGGGGAGCAAACAGGAUUAGAUACCCUGGUAGUCCACGCCGUAAACGAUGAGUGCUAAGUGUUAGAGGGUUUCCG